Molecule: ribosomal RNA, 409 nt
Filed under: Fusobacteriota bacterium
Lineage: Bacteria; Fusobacteriati; Fusobacteriota
Description: Fusobacteria bacterium partial 16S ribosomal RNA
Rfam family: Bacterial small subunit ribosomal RNA
Source: RNAcentral
UGGGGAAUAUUGCACAAUGGAGGGAACUCUGAUGCAGCAACGCCGCGUGCGGGAUGACGGCCUUCGGGUUGUAAACCGCUUUCAGCCAUGACGAAGCUUUUGUGACGGUAGUGGUAGAAGAAGCACCGGCUAACUACGUGCCAGCAGCCGCGGUGAUACGUAGGGUGCGAGCGUUGUCCGGAAUUAUUGGGCGUAAAGAGCUUGUAGGCGGUUUGUCGCGUCGAUAGUGUAAACACGCAGCUUAACUGUGUGCCUGCUGUCGAAACGGGCUGACUAGAGGAGGGUAGGGGGGAAUGGAAUUCCCGGUGGAGAGGUGGAAUGCGCAGAUAUCGGGAGGAACACCAGUGGCGAAGGCGGUUCUCUGGACCUUUCCUGACGCUGAGAAGCGAAAGCGUGGGUAGCAAACAGG